Molecule: ribosomal RNA, 479 nt
Filed under: uncultured bacterium
Lineage: Bacteria
Description: bacterial SSU rRNA
Rfam family: Bacterial small subunit ribosomal RNA
Source: RNAcentral
GACGAACGCUGGCGGCGUGCUUAACACAUGCAAGUCGAACGGUGACGGAGAGCUUGCUCUCCUGAUCAGUGGCGAACGGGUGAGUAACACGUGGGCAACCUGCCCCAGACUUCGGGAUAACGCUUCGAAAGAGGUGCUAAUACCGGAUACGAACUCCUUGGGCAUCCUUGGAGUUGGAAAGUUUUUCGGUCUGGGAUGGGCCCGCGGCCUAUCAGCUUGUUGGUGAGGUAACGGCUCACCAAGGCGACGACGGGUAGCCGGCCUGAGAGGGCGACCGGCCACACUGGGACUGAGACACGGCCCAGACUCCUACGGGAGGCAGCAAUGGGGAAUAUUGCGCAAUGGGCGAAAGCCUGACGCAGCAACGCCGCGUGAGGGAUGACGGCCUCGGUUGUAACCUCUUUCUAGCAGGGAAGAAGCGAAGUGACGGUACCUGCAGAAGAAGCACCGGCUAACUACGUGCCAGCAGCCGCGGUAAU